Molecule: long non-coding RNA, 583 nt
Filed under: Olea europaea subsp. europaea
Lineage: Eukaryota; Viridiplantae; Streptophyta; Magnoliopsida; Lamiales; Oleaceae
Source: RNAcentral
CUGCAAGCUAUCAUACAAAAUUUGCAAGUCAUUCGAAACCAUCUUCCAAACUUCAGCAUCAAUUGAAAAACUAAAGAUCAAAUAAAGUUUCAAGAAAAAUCUUCAGUCCCUCAUUUUCUAGCAAUAUACACGUAACAAAGACAAGUUAUUUACAUAAAAAUGUUAAAUAAAUAAAAGAAAUAAAACCUCGUCAUUAUCCUCGGACUCCUGGGCACACUGAAUCUUGGACUCGAUGACUCGGAGGAGUGACUCGGAGGAACUCGGCCUUUUAGUGGAAUAGUGAUGAACGGAAACCGAAAACGAUCUCGGGAACAAUUUCCGCAAAAGAUCGCCAUGGGUUUUCACAGCGUCAAAGAGGGCAGAGCAGUGGUGGUGGUACCUUUGACUUCCGGAUGAAGCCCGGAUAGCCAAAGGCACAACUCGUGAAGCUGUUCUCCGGAUUGUGUUAGCGAGUGCCAUUUUUGUUGAGUGAGAUUGAGGUCCUUGAGGGUUUGAAAUGAAAACGGGGGUUUGCAAAAGAGGAGGCUUCUGCUAUUUUAGGGUUUAGGGUUUUAGAAGGGGCUUUUAUAUAUUUUUGGAGGGG